RNAcentral lists this ribosomal RNA (1010 nucleotides) under Proteus mirabilis. Its description in RNAcentral is "partial 23S ribosomal RNA". It matches the Rfam family "Bacterial large subunit ribosomal RNA", at positions 1791 to 2798 of the family's 2925-position model. Lineage: Bacteria; Pseudomonadati; Pseudomonadota; Gammaproteobacteria; Enterobacterales; Morganellaceae. The record is from RNAcentral.
UGGCUGCAACUGUUUAUUAAAAACACAGCACUGUGCAAACACGAAAGUGGACGUAUACGGUGUGACGCCUGCCCGGUGCUGGAAGGUUAAUUGAUGGGGUCAGCCGUAAGGCGAAGCUCCUGAUCGAAGCCCCAGUAAACGGCGGCCGUAACUAUAACGGUCCUAAGGUAGCGAAAUUCCUUGUCGGGUAAGUUCCGACCUGCACGAAUGGCGUAAUGAUGGCCAGGCUGUCUCCACCCGAGACUCAGUGAAAUUGAACUCGCUGUGAAGAUGCAGUGUACCCGCGGCAAGACGGAAAGACCCCGUGAACCUUUACUAUAGCUUGACACUGAACAUUGAGCCUUGAUGUGUAGGAUAGGUGGGAGGCUUUGAAGUGUGGACGCCAGUCUGCAUGGAGCCAACCUUGAAAUACCACCCUUUAACGUUUGAUGUUCUAACCUAGGCCCAUAAACUGGGUCGGGGACCGUGUCUGGUGGGUAGUUUGACUGGGGCGGUCUCCUCCUAAAGAGUAACGGAGGAGCACGAAGGUUGGCUAAGCAUGGUCGGACAUCAUGCGGUUAGUGCAAAGGCAUAAGCCAGCUUGACUGCGAGAGUGACGGCUCGAGCAGGUACGAAAGUAGGUCUUAGUGAUCCGGUGGUUCUGAAUGGAAGGGCCAUCGCUCAACGGAUAAAAGGUACUCCGGGGAUAACAGGCUGAUACCGCCCAAGAGUUCAUAUCGACGGCGGUGUUUGGCACCUCGAUGUCGGCUCAUCACAUCCUGGGGCUGAAGUAGGUCCCAAGGGUAUGGCUGUUCGCCAUUUAAAGUGGUACGCGAGCUGGGUUUAGAACGUCGUGAGACAGUUCGGUCCCUAUCUGCCGUGGGCGUUGGAAGAUUGAGAGGGGUUGCUCCUAGUACGAGAGGACCGGAGUGAACGCACCACUGGUGUUCGGGUUGUCAUGCCAAUGGCAUUGCCCGGUAGCUAAGUGCGGAAGAGAUAACCGCUGAAAGCAUCUAAGCGGGAAACUUGCC